UACAGAGGGGGCAAGCGUUGUUCGGAAUUACUGGGCGUAAAGGGCGCGUAGGCGGCCUUCUAAGUCGAACGUGAAAUCCCCGGGCUCAACCCGGGAACUGCGUCCGAUACUGGAAGGCUUGAAUCCGGGAGAGGGAUGCGGAAUUCCAGGUGUAGCGGUGAAAUGCGUAGAUAUCAGGAAGAACACCCGUGGCUAAGGCGGCUCUCUAGUACGGUACUGACGCUGAGACGCGAAAGCGUGGGGAGCGAACAGG
Molecule: ribosomal RNA, 253 nt
Filed under: uncultured bacterium
Lineage: Bacteria
Description: partial 16S ribosomal RNA
Rfam family: Bacterial small subunit ribosomal RNA
Source: RNAcentral